Molecule: non-coding RNA, 258 nt
Filed under: Paenibacillus larvae
Lineage: Bacteria; Bacillati; Bacillota; Bacilli; Caryophanales; Paenibacillaceae
Also listed under: 2 other names
Description: GlcN6P sequence
Rfam family: glmS glucosamine-6-phosphate activated ribozyme aptamer
About the family: This entry contains a glucosamine-6-phosphate activated ribozyme that is found in the mRNA for GlmS.
Source: RNAcentral
GAAGCAACAUAAGCGCCAGAACUUAGGAUGGCAUCGGAGUCUUUUUCAUCCCGGCAGCCUGGCUGCAUAUCUGUUUUGUCGAAGGAGCGUAAGGAAAGACAAUGGCAGGUGGGAAGAAGAAGCGAAGAGCAUCUAAGUUGACGAGGUGAAGGUGUUCGAAACAUUCGGCGGGGACCUUCCGGCAUUUCAUUCAUGCCGUAAGCUUGGAAAGCAAACUGCCCGGGUGACCGGGUAAACAAGAUUCCAGCAUAAUGAUGC